CGGGGCGUGGCUCAGCUUGGCUAGAGCGCUUGGUUCGGGACCAAGAGGUCGAGAGUUCAAAUCUCUCCGCCCCGA
RNAcentral lists this transfer RNA (75 nucleotides) under Omnitrophica bacterium RIFCSPHIGHO2_02_FULL_63_14. Its description in RNAcentral is "tRNA-Pro". It matches the Rfam family "tRNA". Rfam says of the family: Transfer RNA (tRNA) molecules are approximately 80 nucleotides in length. Their secondary structure includes four short double-helical elements and three loops (D, anti-codon, and T loops). Further hydrogen bonds mediate the characteristic L-shaped molecular structure. tRNAs have two regions of fundamental functional importance: the anti-codon, which is responsible for specific mRNA codon recognition, and the 3' end, to which the tRNAs corresponding amino acid is attached (by aminoacyl-tRNA synthetases). tRNAs cope with the degeneracy of the genetic code in two manners: having more than one tRNA (with a specific anti-codon) for a particular amino acid; and 'wobble' base-pairing, i.e. permitting non-standard base-pairing at the 3rd anti-codon position. The record is from RNAcentral. Lineage: Bacteria; Pseudomonadati; Candidatus Omnitrophota.